This 552-nucleotide ribosomal RNA is filed under the name uncultured bacterium. Its description in RNAcentral is "bacterial SSU rRNA". It matches the Rfam family "Bacterial small subunit ribosomal RNA", at positions 355 to 896 of the family's 1533-position model. The record is from RNAcentral.
UAGGGAAUCUUCCGCAAUGGACGAAAGUCUGACGGAGCGACACCGCGUGGAGGACGAAGGCCUUCGGGUUGUAAACUCCUUUUCCAGGGGAAGAAUAAGGGUAAGAGGAAAUGCUUAUCCGAUGACGGUACUCUGGGAAUAAGCCACGGCUAACUCUGUGCCAGCAGCCGCGGUAAGACAGAGGUGGCGAACGUUACCCGGAUUCAUUGGGCGUAAAGGACGUCUAGGCGGUUUGGUGUGUCUUCUGUGAAAGCCCUCUGCUUAACGGGGGGAGGCCAGGGGAAACUACCAGACUAGAGGGUCGGAGAGGGAAGCGGAACUACCAGAGGAGCGGUGAAAUGCGUAGAUACUGGUAGGAACCUCGAUAGCGAAGGCAGCUUCCUGGCCGAUACCUGACGCUAAAGCGUGAAAGCGUGGGGAGCAAACCGGAUUAGAUACCCGGGUAGUCCACGCCCCAAACGAUGUCGAUUAGGUGUUGGCCUCUUUAAUGCUGGGCCAGUGCCGCAGCUUACGCGUUAAAUCGACCGCCUGGGGAGUACGGCCGCAAGGCUA